This 262-nucleotide ribosomal RNA is filed under the name uncultured bacterium. RNAcentral describes it as "partial 16S ribosomal RNA". It matches the Rfam family "Bacterial small subunit ribosomal RNA", at positions 524 to 785 of the family's 1533-position model. The record is from RNAcentral.
UACGGAGGGUGCAAGCGUUAAUCGGAAUCACUGGGCGUAAAGCGCACGCAGGCGGUUUGUUAAGUCAGACGUGAAAGCCCCGGGCUCAACCUGGGAACUGCGUUUGGAUCUACAAGACUAGAGUGUGUCAGAGGGGGGUGGAAUUCCGCGUGUAGCAGUGAAAUGCGUAGAGAUGCGGAGGAACACCGAUGGCGAAGGCAGCCCCCUGGGAUAACACUGACGCUCAUGCACGAAAGCGUGGGGAGCAAACAGGAUUAGAACU